AUAGUCUUUAGGUUCAUAAGUGUAUUAACUGGGUUUCACACUAUUGUGUGAGAUGAGCCCCCUUCAAACCUUGUUACGACAUCAACACGUUACCUACCUGACA
Oryctolagus cuniculus (rabbit) is the source of this 103-nucleotide small nucleolar RNA. The record is from Ensembl. NCBI's taxonomy places the organism in Eukaryota, Metazoa, Chordata, Mammalia, Lagomorpha, Leporidae.